This is a long non-coding RNA of Rhinolophus ferrumequinum (greater horseshoe bat), 1710 nucleotides long. RefSeq lists it as uncharacterized. Lineage: Eukaryota; Metazoa; Chordata; Mammalia; Chiroptera; Rhinolophidae. The record is from RefSeq and is a predicted model, not a curated record. The transcript is spliced from 4 exons.
CAUUCGCUCUGUCCCUUUGCUGAGUGACGCGCUCCGAACAAUGUUGGCUUAAGGUGUUAACUGAGGUAGUCGGUGCUGUUCAUUCUGGGGAAGGCUGCUGGGACCCGAGCCGUUGGUGGUAAAUGUAUUAUGUGCUGCUUUGGAGCUGGAGCUGAAGACUUGUUGAUUGCCUCCCAUUUACCAAGAUUACAGCAAAUUACAUUUAACUGACCGUCAUGUGAACACUCUGAUGUUGUACAUGGAUGAGGGAUGUUGCUAUACAAACCACAGGUUCUGAGGCUAACAGUAGAACCAGUGGGCUGAAGAUACGAGAUUUUCCAUCUCAACAGAAGAACUUCUUGGCGGUUAUAGCUGCAUCAAGAUGACAGUGGUAGUGAUUUCCUCUGGGAAUCUGGGGAACCUGAGACGGAAGAAUACAGCAGCCAUACCCCUGAAGUGUCCUGUGGGAACCUGCUUACUGAAGAAAGUCAUUUCCAGUUAUGGGUGUCUACCCAACAGUGCGAUUCCAGAACCAGUUACGUGUGUUGAGACAGCAAGUCUACAAUUUUAUAGGAACUACUUCACAUCAAUAGAAACAUCAUUACGCGGCACAAGAUCAAUAUUUCAGAUUUUCAUGCUUAGUGUUAUUCUUCGAGAAUGACCAGAAAUUGUCAUUUAUAUGGAGUUAUGUUCUAUUCUGAAAUGCUAGAGAGCAGAUAAUGACUUGGGAGAACAUUGAGAUUAAUGUUCUAGGGGGAGCGCCUACCCCGUAGGCAAUGUAAUAGUCAAGCCGCAGUACAGUGUACCUGAAGGGAGAGGAAACCCCCCCUUUUUGUCAACAAAUAAUACAAGGAGUCCGAUAUCUGUUGCAUUUAUUUUGUAAAAUUCUUUUUAAAUUGAAGACUAGAGCACACAUACAGAAGAAGGCGCAAUUCCUAGGUACACGGCACAGUGAAUUAUCACAAAGUAAACACACCUGUGUAAGCACCAGCCAGGCCAAGGAAAGAGAACAUUGCCAGCCGGCCCCUCCCCAGGAGGCACCUUGGUGGUAUCACGACCCCCUCCCUUCUCACCACUAUUUUUCUUGACCGCUCACAGGGUUAGUUUUACCUGCUUUGGAAUUUUAUGUUGCAUAUAUUCUUUAAUCUUUUUUUAAUCAAAGCAUCUGGAAACCAUUCGUUUCAUGAAUGAUGUCACAUCUCAGAAGUCAAAUAAUUGUUCCUUUGUAGGAAACUCUCUGUUGGGAAUCUAAAUAGCUAACCCCAUAAAUCAUUAUCAUAAAAACUCGUUUGUGAUUUACUUGAGAAGUCAGCGUGAAGAGUAACAUCACGACCUUGUGAUCUAACACAUGCACGCAAAUGGAAUUAUUAAAAAUAAAGAUAAAUGAGCCCUGGAAUAUUCAAUUUCCGAAUUAUCUGGUUCUCCUUGCUCUAGCCUUUCUUGAUAGUAAGGUGACUCUAACCUUUGGGACAUAGUCACAUUCUUUUGAUUAGUUUUUCUAUUCUUUGUACCAGCUUGGUCUUUUGUUCAAAUGCAUUUUCCCUAACAAAGCUGUUGUAGUACUUAAUAGUUUAAAAAAGAAAGGACUUCAAAGCCACAGAUACGAAGAGAGGCUUCUAUUUGGUGACAGACUUCUAAAAUUAGGACUCACCCUAAUGCCCAUAAACACACGUGAGCAAUAUAUUUACUCAAUUCUAAGGGGAAAUCAGGUAUGAGAUGCGAUGAAGAAGA